RNAcentral lists this ribosomal RNA (292 nucleotides) under uncultured bacterium. RNAcentral's name for it is "partial 16S ribosomal RNA". It matches the Rfam family "Bacterial small subunit ribosomal RNA", at positions 505 to 796 of the family's 1533-position model. The record is from RNAcentral.
GUGCCAGCCGCCGCGGUAAGACGUACUGCGCGAACGUUAUUCGGAAUCACUGGGCUUAAAGGGUGCGCAGGCGGCUUGUCAAGCCCGUGGUGAAAGGUCCCGGCCUAACCGGGGAUGUGCUUCGGGGACUGACAAGCUUGGGCGAGCUAGGGGUCUGUGGAACUCCCGGUGGAGCGGUGAAAUGUGUUGAGAUCGGGAGGAACGCCGGUGGCGAAAGCGACAGACUGGGGCUUGGCCGACGCUCAGGCACGAAAGCCAGGGGAGCGAACGGGAUUAGAAACCCGGGUAGUCC